Molecule: unclassified non-coding RNA, 520 nt
Filed under: uncultured Glomus
Lineage: Eukaryota; Fungi; Glomeromycota; Glomeromycetes; Glomerales; Glomeraceae
Description: SSU rRNA
Rfam family: Eukaryotic small subunit ribosomal RNA
Source: RNAcentral
AGCAGCCGCGGUAAUUCCAGCUCCAAUAGCGUAUAUUAAAGUUGCUGCAGUUAAAAAGCUCGUAGUUGAAUUUCGGGACCAUCAUGUUGGUCGUGCCUCGGUACGUACUGGCAUUGUUGGUUUCUCCCUUCUGACGAACCAUGAUGUCAUUUAUUUGGUGUCGUGGGAAAUCAGGACUGUUACUUUGAAAAAAUUAGAGUGUUUAAAGCAGGCUCACGCUUGAAUACAUUAGCAUGGAAUAAUGAAAUAGGACGUUUGAUUCUAUUUUGUUGGUUUCUAGGAUCGGCGUAAUGAUUAAUAGGGAUAGUUGGGGGCAUUAGUAUUCAAUUGUCAGAGGUGAAAUUCUUGGAUUUAUUGAAGACUAACUACUGCGAAAGCAUUUGCCAAGGAUGUUUUCAUUAAUCAAGAACGAAAGUUAGGGGAUCGAAGACGAUCAGAUACCGUCGUAGUCUUAACCAUAAACUAUGCCGACUAGGGAUCGGAUGAUGUUAAUUUUUUAAUGACUCAUUCGGCGCCUUAC